GACGAACGCUGGCGGCGUGCUUAAUACAUGCAAGUCGAACGGAAAGACCCUGCGCUUGCUGCUUUCUCGAGUGGCGCACGGGGGAGUAACACGUGAGUAUCCUGCCCUUGACUUUCUGAUAUCUCCUGGGAACAGGGGCGAAUAUCGCAUAUGAUAUCCUGCUGCAUGGGGGUGGUUGGAGAGUUUCGGUUGUUGGGUAAGGACUCGCGGCUUCUCAGCUUGUUUGUGGGGUAGUGGCUUACCAAGGCUUUGACGGGUAGCCGGCCUGAGCGGGUGACCGGCCACAUUGGGACUGAGAUACGGCCCAGACUCCUACGGGAGGCAGCAGUGGGGAAUAUUGCACAAUGGGCGGAAGCCUGAUGCAGCAACGCCGCGUGCGGGAUGACGGCCUUCGGGUUGUAAACCGCUUUCGCCUGUGACGAAGCGUGAGUGACGGUAAUGGGUAAAGAAGCACCGGCUAACUACGUG
Molecule: ribosomal RNA, 468 nt
Filed under: uncultured bacterium
Lineage: Bacteria
Description: partial 16S ribosomal RNA
Rfam family: Bacterial small subunit ribosomal RNA
Source: RNAcentral